This 754-nucleotide small RNA is filed under the name Pongo abelii (Sumatran orangutan). RNAcentral's name for it is "processed transcript". Lineage: Eukaryota; Metazoa; Chordata; Mammalia; Primates; Hominidae. The record is from RNAcentral.
GGAUGCCUUUUGGGCAAGCUGGGCCGGAGCCCACCCUUACUGGACACCCUGGCAUCCAAGGCAUCAAAGGAGAGAAGGUGAGGGAACCCUGCUCUCCUGGCUGCCCUCCUCUGCCUACCUGGGAGCAUUUCUGAUCCUUCCUCUUCUUUCCCCAGGGGGAGCCCUGCUUGUCCUGCAGCUCGGUUGUAGGGGCCCAGCAUCUUGUGUCCUCCACAGGGGCCAGUGGAGAUGUGGGCUCCCCUGGCUUUGGUCUGCCUGGCCUUCCGGGGAGAGCUGGGGUGCCAGGGCUGAAAGGAGAGAAGGGUAACUUCGGGGAGGCAGGGCCAGCUGGCAGUCCAGGGCCACCAGGACCAGUGGGGCCAGCAGGCAUCAAAGGGGUGAAGGGGGAGCCCUGUGAGCCGUGCCCGGCCCUGUCCAACCUUCAGGAUGGGGAUAUCCGUGUGGUGGCCUUGCCUGGCCCAUCUGGAGAGAAGGGGGAACCUGGGCCUCCAGGCUUUGGCUUGCCAGGAAAACAGGGCAAGGCUGGAGAGCGUGGACUGAAGGGGCAGAAGGGUGAUGCUGGGAAUCCCGGAGACCCUGGAACGCCGGGCACCACAGGGCGGCCAGGACUGUCAGGAGAGCCUGGAGUUCGGGGCCCCGCAGGGCCAAAAGGAGAAAAGGGCCAACCCGGCCUACCAGGAGUUCAAGGGCCCCCAGGACUGAAGGGCGUGCAGGGAGAGCCAGGGCCUCCAGGAAGGGGAGUCCAGGGACCCCA